RNAcentral lists this transfer RNA (75 nucleotides) under Candidatus Cloacimonadota bacterium. RNAcentral's name for it is "tRNA-Thr". It matches the Rfam family "tRNA". From Rfam's summary of the family: Transfer RNA (tRNA) molecules are approximately 80 nucleotides in length. Their secondary structure includes four short double-helical elements and three loops (D, anti-codon, and T loops). RNAcentral also lists the same sequence under 1 other name. Lineage: Bacteria; Pseudomonadati; Candidatus Cloacimonadota. The record is from RNAcentral.
GCCGAUGUAGCUCAACGGUAGAGCAAUUGAUUUGUAAUCAAUAGGUUGGGGGUUCGAUUCCCUUCAUCGGCUCCA